GAUGGAAAGGUUUUGCGCUGCUUGUUUUCCAGUGGGGGAGUAUAAGGUAAUUCCAAGGAACUGGUUUUCACAUCUACAGGGAUUUCUUUCUUGAUACUUGUUAGCAGUUUUUUACUUUUCUGCUUUAUUUGCACCAUUUCAUUUUCAGGUUUUUCUGGUGUAACUUUUCCCUUUUGUUUUUCAGGUUCCUCUUUGAGAAGUGGCUCUGUAUCUGGGUUGGAGGUUUCAGUUGUGGUUGAAGAACUGUCAUCAUCUGCCAAGGAAUCCUUCAGUUCAUCUUCCUGUUGCUUCCCUUUUCCUCUUCUGUCCUUUUCUUCCCGUUUCUUCUGUGGCUUCGCCUUCCGCUGAAGUGCUUUCCCUUUCCCUUUGUUUUUUGCUAGUGGAGAUGGGGGUUGCUCUGUAAACACAUCUGGGGAAGGGGUUUCUG
This 427-nucleotide long non-coding RNA is filed under the name Gallus gallus (chicken). The record is from RNAcentral. Lineage: Eukaryota; Metazoa; Chordata; Aves; Galliformes; Phasianidae.